CCUACGGGCGGCAGCAGGGAGGAAUAUUGGGCAAUGGGAGAGAACCGGAACCAGCCAAGCCGCGUGAGGGAAGACGGCCCUAUGGGGUGUAAAACUCUUUUGUCGGAGAACAAAACCCGGGACGAGUCCCGGACUGCGUGUAUCCGAAGAAAAAGCAUCGGCUAACGCCGUGCCAGCAGCCGCGGUAAUACGGAGGAUGCGAGCGUUAUCCGGAUUUAUUGGGUUUAAAGGGUGCGUAGGCGGUCUGUUAAGUCAGCGGUAAAAUGGCGGGGCUCAACCCCGGCGAGCCGUUGAAACUGGCAGACUUGAGUUGGCGAGAGGUACGCGGAAUGCGCGGUGUAGCGGUGAAAUGCAUAGAUAUCGCGCAGAACUCCGAUUGCGAAGGCAGCGUACCGGCGCCAGACUGACGCUGAGGCACGAAAGCGUGGGGAUCGAACAGGAUUAGAUACCCUGGUAGUC
This 459-nucleotide ribosomal RNA is filed under the name uncultured bacterium. RNAcentral's name for it is "partial 16S ribosomal RNA". It matches the Rfam family "Bacterial small subunit ribosomal RNA", at positions 338 to 795 of the family's 1533-position model. The record is from RNAcentral.